UACAGGGGGUGCAAACGUUGCUCGGAAUCAUUGGGCGUAAAGCGCACGUAGGCGGUUUGUUAUGUCGGAUGUGAAAGCCCUUGGCUCAACUGAGGAAGUGCAUCCGAAACUGGCAAGCUAGAGUACUAAUGAGGGUCGCGGAAUUCCCGGUGUAGAGGUGAAAUUCGUAGAUAUCGGGAGGAACACCAAUGGCGAAGGCAGCUCGCUGGGACGGUACUGACGCUGAGGCGCGAAAGCGUGGGGAGCAAACAGG
Molecule: ribosomal RNA, 253 nt
Filed under: uncultured bacterium
Lineage: Bacteria
Description: partial 16S ribosomal RNA
Rfam family: Bacterial small subunit ribosomal RNA
Source: RNAcentral